UCGGGAAUAGUAGUGUAAUGCU
This 22-nucleotide microRNA is filed under the name Lingula anatina. RNAcentral's name for it is "Lan-Mir-1993_5p* (star (passenger))". Lineage: Eukaryota; Metazoa; Brachiopoda; Lingulata; Lingulida; Lingulidae. The record is from RNAcentral.